RNAcentral lists this small nucleolar RNA (100 nucleotides) under Helianthus annuus (common sunflower). RNAcentral's name for it is "Plant small nucleolar RNA R71". It matches the Rfam family "Plant small nucleolar RNA R71". From Rfam's summary of the family: R71 is a member of the C/D box family of snoRNAs containing the C (UGAUGA) and D (CUGA) box motifs. Multiple nearly identical copies of this snoRNA have been identified in Arabidopsis, and it is thought to function as a 2'-O-ribose methylation guide for 18S ribosomal RNA. The record is from RNAcentral. Lineage: Eukaryota; Viridiplantae; Streptophyta; Magnoliopsida; Asterales; Asteraceae.
AGACCAUGAUGCGGGCAUUUCCUUAAUAACUCCUUGAACAUCUCCCAUGUCUCGUACAAAGAUUCCCCGUCGUCUUGAGAAUAGGCUCGGUCAUGAGUUU